This 225-nucleotide unclassified non-coding RNA is filed under the name Hevea brasiliensis (rubber tree). Lineage: Eukaryota; Viridiplantae; Streptophyta; Magnoliopsida; Malpighiales; Euphorbiaceae. The record is from RNAcentral.
GUGGAGGCUGACCCAUUUGGGACCCACCACCGAUGUGGGUCCCACCCCUUCCACCUCCGAUCUGAGGCUCACCCCUUCCACCACCACGGCCUUGUCCUCGACCACGGUUACCUCCACCUCUGCCGGCGUUAUCAUGACCGCCACCACGUCGGUAGUUCCCACGAUCCAUUCUGUAACUUGAGAGAGAAAAAGUAAAGUAGCAAAUGUGAACACUUUCGAUGAUUU